CCUACGGGAGGCUGCAGUGAGGAAUAUUGGUCAAUGGCCGCAGGGCUGAACCAGCCAAGUCGCGUGAGGGAUGACGGUCCUAUGGAUUGUAAACCUCUUUUGUCAGGGAGCAAAGGGCGCCACGUGUGGCGCUUUGCGAGUACCUGAAGAAAAAGCAUCGGCUAACUCCGUGCCAGCAGCCGCGGUAAUACGGAGGAUGCGAGCGUUAUCCGGAUUUAUUGGGUUUAAAGGGUGCGCAGGCGGAAUGUCAAGUCAGCGGUAAAAUUUCGGGGCUCAACCCCGUCGUGCCGUUGAAACUGGCGUUCUUGAGUGAGCGAGAAGUAGGCGGAAUGCGUGGUGUAGCGGUGAAAUGCAUAGAUAUCACGCAGAACUCCGAUUGCGAAGGCAGCAUACCGGCGCUCAACUGACGCUCAUGCACGAAAGCGUGGGUAUCGAACAGGAUUAGAUACCCCAGUAGUC
This 459-nucleotide ribosomal RNA is filed under the name uncultured bacterium. Its description in RNAcentral is "partial 16S ribosomal RNA". It matches the Rfam family "Bacterial small subunit ribosomal RNA", at positions 338 to 795 of the family's 1533-position model. The record is from RNAcentral.